RNAcentral lists this ribosomal RNA (446 nucleotides) under uncultured Oscillospiraceae bacterium. Its description in RNAcentral is "bacterial SSU rRNA". It matches the Rfam family "Bacterial small subunit ribosomal RNA", at positions 335 to 798 of the family's 1533-position model. The record is from RNAcentral. Lineage: Bacteria; Bacillati; Bacillota; Clostridia; Eubacteriales; Oscillospiraceae.
UUUCCUACGGGGGGCAGCAGUGGGGGAUAAUGCACAAUGGGCGAAAGCCUGAUGCAGCGAUGCCGCGUGGAGGAAGAAGGUCUUCGGAUUGUAAACUCCUGUCUUUAGGGACGAUAAUGACGGUACCUAAGGAGGAAGCUCCGGCUAACUACGUGCCAGCAGCCGCGGUAAUACGUAGGGAGCGAGCGUUGUCCGGAAUUACUGGGUGUAAAGGGAGCGUAGGCGGGGCGGCAAGUCAGGUGUGAAAUUUAUGGGCUUAACCCAUAACCUGCAUUUGAAAAUGUCGCUCUUGAGUGAAGAAGAGGUUGGAGGAAUUCCUAGUGUAGCGGUGAAAUGCGUAGAUAUUAGGAGGAACACCAGUGGCGAAGGCGGCCAACUGGGCUUUUACUGACGCUGAGGCUCGAAAGCGUGGGGAGCAAACAGGAUUAGAUACCCCGGUAGUCGAU